Molecule: non-coding RNA, 286 nt
Organism: Danio rerio (zebrafish)
Lineage: Eukaryota; Metazoa; Chordata; Actinopteri; Cypriniformes; Danionidae
Source: RefSeq, a predicted model, not a curated record
AAUAGUUAGAUUAUUUAAUUCAUUUUUUUGUGUGAACUAACCCUUUAUUGGUCAAUAAAGUACAGUUUUUUGCUCCACAGUAAACUAUGGAUUCCCUAUGAUGAGGGAAGUCAGACUGAAGCCAUCACUAUAAGACAAAACCAUGGACGUCUGCCUAGCACAUGUGUAGAAGGAAUCCGCAUAUGAAAACCCCUCAUCGGUCGCAGAACCUUUGAUCCGUAACUUGGAAGAGCGAUGACCUUUGACUAUUCCUGAAUUUAACAUUGGCGUUUGGAGCAUCGUGAUG